GAUGAACGCUGGCGGCGUGCCUAAUACAUGCCAGUCGAGCGAACGGACGAGAAGCUUGCUUCUCUGAUGUUAGCGGCGGACGGGUGAGUAACACGUGGAUAACCUACCUAUAAGACUGGGAUAACUUCGGGAAACCGGAGCUAAUACCGGAUAAUAUUUUGAACCGCAUGGUUCAAAAGUGAAAGACGGUCUUGCUGUCACUUAUAGAUGGAUCCGCGCUGCAUUAGCUAGUUGGUAAGGUAACGGCUUACCAAGGCAACGAUGCAUAGCCGACCUGAGAGGGUGAUCGGCCACACUGGAACUGAGACACGGUCCAGACUCCUACGGGAGGCAGCAGUAGGGAAUCUUCCGCAAUGGGCGGAAGCCUGACGGAGCAACGCCGCGUGAGUGAUGAAGGUCUUCGGAUCGUAAAACUCUGUUAUUAGGGAAGAACAUAUGUGUAAGUAACUGUGCACAUCUUGACGGUACCUAAUCAGAAAGCCACGGCUAACUACGUG
Molecule: ribosomal RNA, 497 nt
Filed under: uncultured bacterium
Lineage: Bacteria
Description: partial 16S ribosomal RNA
Rfam family: Bacterial small subunit ribosomal RNA
Source: RNAcentral